AGAGUUUGAUUCUGGCUCAGAACGAACGCUGGCGGCAGGCUUAACACAUGCAAGUCGAACGAUAUAGUGGCAGACGGGUGAGUAACGCGUGGGAACGUGCCUUUCACUAAGGAAUAGCUUUUGGAAACGAAAGGUAAUACCUUAUACGCCCUUCGGGGGAAAGAUUUAUCGGUGAAAGAUCGGCCCGCGUUAGAUUAGCUAGUUGGUGAGGUAAUGGCUCACCAAGGCUACGAUCUAUAGCUGGUCUGAGAGGUGGGACUGAGACACGGCCCAGACUCCUACGGGAGGCAGCAGUGGGGAAUAUUGCACAAUGGGCGCAAGCCUGAUGCAGCCAUGCCGCGUGAAUGAUGAAGGCCUUAGGGUUGUAAAAUUCUUUCGCUAGGGAUGAUAAUGACAGUACCUAGUAAAGAAGCACCGGCUAACUUCGUGCCAGCAGCCGCGGUAAUACGAAGGGUGCUAGCGUUGUUCGGAAUUACUGGGCGUAAAGCGUACGUAGGCGGAUUAUUAAGUCAGAUGUGAAAUCCCGAGGCUCAACCUCGGAACUGCAUUUGAAACUGGUAGUCUAGAGAUCAGGAGAGGUUAGUGGAAUACCGAGUGUAGAGGUGAAAUUCGUAGAUAUUCGGUGGAACACCAGUGGCGAAGGCGACUAACUGGACUGAUACUGACGCUGAGGUACGAAAGUGUGGGGAGCAAACAGGAUUAGAUACCCUGGUAGUCCACACCGUAAACGAUGAGAGCUAGUUGUCUGCAGGCAUGCCUGUAGGUGACGCAGCUAACGC
This 779-nucleotide ribosomal RNA is filed under the name Henriciella sp. RNAcentral's name for it is "bacterial SSU rRNA". It matches the Rfam family "Bacterial small subunit ribosomal RNA", at positions 8 to 858 of the family's 1533-position model. The record is from RNAcentral. Lineage: Bacteria; Pseudomonadati; Pseudomonadota; Alphaproteobacteria; Hyphomonadales; Hyphomonadaceae.